CCUAUUCCAAGUGACCGACUCCGAAUCGACUCAAAUCCCGGAAAUGACUCACACCUGUCUCGGUAUUUUCGUGCUGCUAACCCUGAGCCAGAACCAGGAACCAGUGCUUCCAAACAGAUUCUAACAGUCGGAAGGAUGCGCAGUCAUGAGAACUGAGGAAAGAGACUCACUUUAAUCGCCAUGGAGAGAGUGAUCGGUUCUUUAGUUCAGAUGAGAAGACCAAGUGUGUGAAAUCCUGGCAGGACGCGGCAGACACAGAAGGUGCAGCCCUGAGAUCGAUGUGUCUGCCUGCCCGCCGCAGUAACUUCUUUUCCUGGUGCAUGAGUUCAUCAUUAGUCAAACAGCCCCUAAGCUUCUGUUCUGUCAAAGCAUCCUUGAGGAAAAGCAUGAAAACUCCGGCUAUCAGAUAAGACUGGGAGAGAAGAACAUCACGAUUGAAAAACAAAUAAACAAACAAAAUACAAAUAAAAACACACCACCACUUAAAUCCAUGUUCAUACAAGUUGAAUAAUAAAUACAUAAUGUAUGCUGUA
Molecule: long non-coding RNA, 533 nt
Organism: Silurus meridionalis
Lineage: Eukaryota; Metazoa; Chordata; Actinopteri; Siluriformes; Siluridae
Exons: 2
Source: RefSeq, a predicted model, not a curated record